GUGUCAGCAGCCGCGGUAAUACGAAGGGGACUAGCGUUGUUCGGAUUUACUGGGCGUAAAGCGCGCGUAGGCGGAUCACUAAGUCAGGGGUGAAAUCCCGAGGCUUAACCUCGGAACUGCCUUUGAUACUGGAGAUCUGGAGAUCGGGAGAGGUUGGUGGAAUUCCGAGUGUAGAGGUGAAAUUCGUAGAUAUUCGGAGGAACACCAGAAGCGAAGGCGGCCAACUGGCCCGAUACUGACGCUGAGGCGCGAAAGCGUGGGGAGCAAACAGGAUUAGAUACCCGUGUAGUCC
RNAcentral lists this ribosomal RNA (292 nucleotides) under uncultured bacterium. Its description in RNAcentral is "partial 16S ribosomal RNA". It matches the Rfam family "Bacterial small subunit ribosomal RNA", at positions 505 to 796 of the family's 1533-position model. The record is from RNAcentral.